CGGAGGGUGCAAGCGUUAAUCGGAAUUACUGGGCGUAAAGGGUGCGUAGGCUGGGAGAUAAGUCAGACGUGAAAUACCAAAGCUCAACUUUGGUGCUGCAUCUGAAACUAUCUUUCUUGAGGAAUGGCGGAGAAACGGAAUUCCACGUGUAGCGGUGAAAUGCGUAGAUAUGUGGAAGAACAUCUGUGGCGAAAGCGGUUUUCUAGCUUGAUCCUGACGCUGAGGCACGAAAGCAAGGGGAGCAAACAGGAUUAGAUACCCUGGUAGUCCUUGCCUUAAACGAUGUAUACUUGGCGUAGUUGGUCUCAACCCCGACUGUGCCGAAGCUAACGCGAUAAGUAUACCGCCUGGGGAGUACACUCGCAAGGGUG
RNAcentral lists this ribosomal RNA (371 nucleotides) under uncultured organism. Its description in RNAcentral is "bacterial SSU rRNA". It matches the Rfam family "Bacterial small subunit ribosomal RNA", at positions 526 to 896 of the family's 1533-position model. The record is from RNAcentral.